UACGCAGGGGGCUAGCGUUGCUCGGAAUUACUGGGCGUAAAGGGCGCGUAGGCGGAUAUCUAAGUUGGGGGUGAAAUCCCGGGGCUCAACCUCGGAAUUGCCUUCAAAACUGGAUAUCUUGAGUUCGGGAGAGGUGAGUGGAACUCCGAGUGUAGAGGUGAAAUUCGUAGAUAUUCGGAAGAACACCAGUGGCGAAGGCGACUCACUGGCCCGAUACUGACGCUGAGGCGCGAAAGCGUGGGGAGCGAACAGG
RNAcentral lists this ribosomal RNA (253 nucleotides) under uncultured bacterium. Its description in RNAcentral is "partial 16S ribosomal RNA". It matches the Rfam family "Bacterial small subunit ribosomal RNA", at positions 524 to 776 of the family's 1533-position model. The record is from RNAcentral.